This is an RNA transcript of Zea mays, 7553 nucleotides long. RefSeq lists it as uncharacterized. The record is from RefSeq and is marked provisional. NCBI's taxonomy places the organism in Eukaryota, Viridiplantae, Streptophyta, Magnoliopsida, Poales, Poaceae. The transcript is spliced from 6 exons.
GUCAUUUUGUCCGCUCCUAGCGAACUGGGAGACGUCCAAUUCCAGCCCGUUCCCGACUUCCGACUGCGGGCGCUCUUUGGACGGACCGAGGUGGACCACGUCCAGCCGCAGGCUGAGGCUGCGGACGAGAUGCCGCGAGGGCCUACGAGUCAGUGAGCCAAGCGCGCCGCGUCGCGUCUGCUGGUGGACUCUGCGCCUCGUGACCACGGUCUCCAGGGACCAGGGCGGUGAGCCAGCAUCUUCUUUUUCCGUCCCCUCCUGCAGCCGCCGCCCGCCGAGACGCCAAGCGCGAGCGGGAGGAGACCAUGUCACGGUGGCGCGCCGCCGCCUACAGCAUCUCCGCAGCUGCCGCGUCCCGCAACUCUGCGGCGGAGGCCGGCGCCCUCUCCAGGGCCUUGGCGAAGGCUCCCUCGCCGCCUUCGCUUCCUCUCCAAACCCUCACGAGAAACUUUGCCAAGUCCGCUGCCGCCGCCACGGCCACGUCGCCCGGCCCUGGCGCUUCCUCUCCGCCCGCUGGGCCGAGGCCCGAGAUUAGACUGAAGUCUAUGUUCUUAUCCAAGCCCUGUUCAUUAGCGUUGCCACCUGACUCCCCUCAUAGAGCAGUGGAUCCACAAUAUAAGGGCAUCAAGCGAUUCCUACUCACAUUGUUGUUGUUCUACAGUAAGCAAAGCAAGUCCAUCAGAGGAGCAAAUGUUGUUUAUGAUCGAAUCACUUCUCAAGUUGAUGCACCUACUAUUUAUGAUGUUUUUCAGUUGGAGAAAACAUUUAAGACAACAUUUUCAUUGCUUGUUCUCCAUAUGUGGCUUGUUCUACGCCGCUUGAAGGAAGAAGGGAAGGAUGGUGUUAAGUUCGGACAGUACAUCUACGAAAUGUACAACCACGAUGUAGAACUCAGAGUUUCUAAAGCUGGGGUUAACUUGCUUCUGACAAAAUGGAUGAAGGAGCUAGAGAAAAUAUUCUAUGGAAACAUUGUGAAGUAUGAUGCUGCGAUAAGCCCAGAGGCUCGUCAAGAUGAUCUUGUAAAUGUCAUCUGGAGGAGUACUAGCUACUGAAGGCUAUUUCAGAAUCAAAAAAAGUAAAGUAAAAAUCAUUUAGCUUAUUCUCUCAAUUUCAAUUGACCGCUACUGGAUUUAGUAUAUCUAAUAUGAAUUGGCGAUCAGAACACAUAUGGAUAGAACUUCUAAAAGGUUCUCGAAAAAGAGGUAAUUUUUUCUGGGCCUGUAUUCUUUUUCUAGGUUCAUUAGGAUUCUUAGCGGUUGGGGCUUCCAGUUAUCUUGGUAAGAAUAUGAUAUCUGUACUUCCAUCUCAACAAAUUCUUUUUUUUCCACAGGGGGUCGUGAUGUCUUUCUACGGAAUCGCGGGCCUAUUCAUUAGCUCCUAUUUGUGGUGCACUAUUUUAUGGAAUGUAGGCAGUGGUUAUGACCGAUUCGAUAGAAAAGAGGGAAUAGUGUGCAUUUUUCGUUGGGGAUUCCCUGGAAUAAAACGUCGCAUCUUCCUUCAAUUCCUUGUGCGGGAUAUCCAAUCAAUUAGAAUUCAGGUUAAAGAGGGUCUUUAUCCUCGUCGUAUCCUUUAUAUGGAAAUCCGGGGCCAGGGGGUCAUUCCCUUGACUCGUACUGAUGAGAAGUUUUUUACUCCACGAGAAAUUGAACAAAAAGCUGCCGAAUUGGCCUAUUUCUUGCGUGUACCAAUUGAAGUAUUUUGAGUACCAAUUGCAAUUUUUUGCAAUUGUAAGGGGAUUUUCGAGUAUUUAUCUAAAGUAAAGGAAGGAAGGAACGAGGAUAAGAGAAAAUUGCUUCGAAUUUGUUUUGUCCAAGUGAGAUAUAUGGCAUACUAUUCUUCCAUUUUUAUACGAAAGGCCUUUUUUUAUUUCUCUAUUCCACUCCAUUUAGAUCUAAGAAAGAACCCAAUACAAUGAAAUUCCACUAGUAUACAAAAAGAGAAAUAGAUACAAACACAAGGUCUCAAACCUUGUUAUAGAAUUUUUGCUUCAAAGAAAAGAAAUAUCAUAUAUAUUCAGCUUACAGAUCAAAAAUGAAAAAAAAGAAAGCAUUGCCUUCUUUCUUAUAUCUUGUAUUUAUCGUACUUUUGCCCUGGGGAGUCUCUUUCUCUUUUAACAAAUGUCUGGAACUUUGGAUUAAGAAUUGGUGGAAUACCAGGCAAUCCGAAACUUUCUUAACUGAUAUUCAAGAGAAAAGGAUUCUAGAAGGAUUCAUAGAAUUAGAGGAACUUUUUCUCUUGGACGAAAUGAUAAAAGAGAAACCGAAGACACAUGUACAAAAACUUCCUAUAGGAAUACACAAGGAAAUAAUACAAUUGGCCAAAAUAGAUAAUGAGGAUCAUCUCCAUAUCAUUUUGCAUUUCUCAACAAAUAUAAUCUGUUUGGCUAUUCUAAGUGGUUCUUUUUUUCUGGGUAAAGAAGAACUUGUCAUUUUGAAUUCUUGGGUUCAGGAAUUUUUCUAUAACUUAAAUGAUUCAAUAAAAGCUUUUUUUAUUCUUUUAGUUACUGAUUUUUUUGUUGGAUUUCACUCUACCCGCGGUUGGGAACUACUAAUUCGUUGGGUCUACAACAAUCUUGGAUGGGCUCCUAACGAGCUAAUUUUCACUAUUUUUGUUUGUAGUUUUCCUGUGAUUCUAGACACGUGUUUGAAAUUUUGGGUCUUUUUUUGUUUAAACCGUCUAUCUCCUUCACUUGUAGUCAUUUAUCAUUCAAUUAGUGAAGCAUAAACUCACUCAUUUCAUUUCCUAAUAUUAAUCAAAUUAGCAUAUUUCUUUUCUUCCUUUAGAAAUGGAAAGAAAGCCCUUUUCCUUUUUAACAAAAUUCUUUCUAUUUCUACCUGCUCAAGGUAUUCAUCAUUCUAGUACAACUAUUGCAGUAGAAUGACAACAGACUCGUGUAUAGGGAACUAGAUUAGCUUAGCUACCUAUCUAAUUUAUUGUAGAAAUUCCGGGAUCCGCGAUUGGACAUGGAAAAUAGAAAAACUUUUUCUUGGUUAAAGGAACAGAUGAUUCGAUCGAUUUCUGUAUCGAUCAUGAUAUACGUAAUAACUCGCACAUCUAUUUCAAACGCAUAUCCCAUUUUUGCGCAGCAGGGUUAUGAAAACCCGCGGGAAGCAACUGGACGAAUUGUAUGUGCCAAUUGCCAUUUAGCUAAUAAGCCUGUGGAUAUUGAAGUUCCCCAAGCAGUGCUUCCUGAUACUGUAUUUGAAGCAGUUCUUCGAAUUCCUUAUGAUAUGCAGCUGAAACAAGUUCUUGCUAAUGGUAAAAAGGGAGGGUUGAAUGUGGGUGCUGUUCUUAUUUUGCCCGAGGGAUUCGAAUUAGCGCCGCCCGACCGUAUUUCUCCUGAGUUGAAAGAAAAGAUAGGAAAUCUCUCUUUUCAGAGUUAUCGUCCCAAUAAAAAAAAUAUUCUUGUGAUAGGCCCUGUUCCCGGUAAGAAAUAUAGUGAAAUUGUCUUUCCCAUUCUUUCCCCCGAUCCCGCUACAAAAAAAGACGUUCAUUUCUUAAAAUAUCCCAUAUAUGUAGGGGGAAACCGAGGAAGGGGACAGAUCUAUCCUGACGGUAGCAAGAGUAACAAUACGGUCUAUAAUGCUACGUCAACAGGUAUAGUAAAAAAAAUACUACGUAAAGAAAAGGGGGGAUAUGAAAUAUCCAUAGUGGAUGCAUCGGAUGGACGCCAAGUGAUUGAUAUUAUACCUCCCGGGCCAGAACUUCUUGUUUCAGAGGGGGAAUCAAUCAAGCUUGAUCAACCAUUAACAAGCAAUCCUAAUGUAGGAGGGUUUGGUCAGGGGGAUGCAGAAAUAGUGCUUCAGGAUCCAUUGCGCGUCCAAGGCCUUUUGUUUUUCUUCGCAUCUGUUAUUUUGGCACAAGUUUUUUUGGUUCUCAAAAAGAAACAGUUUGAAAAGGUUCAAUUGUACGAAAUGAAUUUCUAGAUCCUGGGAUUUCUUACCAUCAAGUGAGAAAAAAGCCUCGAUUUCUGGAAUUCCUUAUUUCUAUCUCAUGCAAAAGAAGAGGAUCCAAGGCAAAGACGAGAACAAUAAAAGGAACAAGUCCUUUUAGGAGGAAUUGUGGGUCUUCUUAAUCCUCUAUUGGGCACAAGAAAAAGGCUUUUUUGCCUUUUUCUUGUGUCGAUUCUUCUUGUAUCGAAGUAAGAAUCAUUUUUCUUCUUAUUUGUUUUGUCAAAGAUUACUAUUUAUUCUUUAUUCGGGUCUGUCUUUUGGACUUCCUUUGCUUAGGUUCGGGCGCGGUAGUGGACAAACAGAGGGAAAGAAGGUAUGGCGGGGGACACAUUUCUUGUGAGCAAAUAGAAUUGCUUUACUUUUUGAAUUAAGUUCAACUUUGAACUUACAGAAAUUUUGUAAAAAAAAAUCUAUACCCUCCCAUGGAAGGGUGGUUUUGAUUUUUAGGCUAGUUGAGUAGUUUUGAUUAAGGUUUUAUUAGUUUAUUACUCUAAACUAAAUCAACGAUUUGCAGGAUACUUCCUUCAUGGAAUAAAAUACUGGAUCCUCUCCCCUCUUUCUUGUUGCUUCAUAAGAGUGAAUCCAUUUUAUGGGCGAAAGGCGGGGGCUUUAAAUCGACCGAUGGAUUGCUUCACUCACUAACAUCAUUAACAAACAAAAGAAUAAAUGGAGGGAUUCCAACCAUCAGAGCAAAGGUUUUCUCUUUGUUAUUUUUACAAAUAGAAAUAGGUAACCAAUUUCUAGAUUAUGGAACAAAACCGCGUUAUAACAAUAAGAAUUCCGCGGGCCCUUUCCGCUCUAAUCAGAUAAAGGGGAGUAAGGACCCGCUAAGUUCCUACUUUUUCAUGUUUACAAUCUGGAUCCUCCGAUUACUAUAGAGAUGAACCCAAUCCAGAAUACGAACCGUAAAAGAAAACACCUAUUAAACCAAUCACAAGAAUACCAGUUACAGUACCUAUCAGCCAAAGAGGAAUUCUUCCAGUAGUAUCGGCCAUUUCCCCUACUUUCCUCCACAUUUUCUCAAGUGGUCAUGCUAGAGACAAAAACAGUCAUGGAUAGUUAUAAAGAUGGUAUCCUUCCAAAUGGGAUAAGAGAAUUCUUACUACUCUCUUUCUUUCUCUCAAUUGAAGAAGUAAUUGGAAAAUAAAACAGCAAGUACAAAAAUGAGUAAUAAACCCCAGUAUAGACUGGUACGAUUCAAUUCAACAUUUUGUUCAUUCGGGUUUGAUUGUGUCAUAGUUCUAUAGUUGGAAUUUGGUUUAUCGUUGGAUGAACUGCAUUGCUGAUAUUGAUCCCAAGAAAAAAACCGUGGGUACAGCUAAUCCGUGAACAGCCAGCCAUCGCACUGUAAAAAUAGGAUAGGUUCGAUCUAUGGUCAUUGGGGGCCUCCUAAAAGGAUCUACUAAAUUCAUCUAGUUGUUCUAAAGAAUCAAAACGGUCGGUUAUUAAUGGAAUUCCUUGUCGGCUUUCCGUGAAAUACUCGUUUGGUCGAGGACUUCCAAACACGUCAUAAGCUAAACCCGUACUGACAAAUAACCAACCCGCAAUGAAUAGGGAAGGUAUAGUAAUGCUAUGAAUAACCCAGUAUCGAAUACUGGUAAUAAUAUCAGCAAAAGAACGUUCUCCCGUGCUUCCAGACAUGCUGAGCUCCCAAAAUUUUUAUUCAAAAAAGGAAUUGAUUCCGUAAAAGAUGGGAUCCACCAGUAAAUAGAAAAUUACUGAUAUUUCAUCCUUGUGAGAUUGUCAAUUUUGUACCAAAGGUGUAUUUUGAGUAUACCGAAUUAGUAUAGCUAUCCUUCCUUCUAAUAUAUAAUGAUGCGCAGCUCUUCUGCGUGUUCGAGAAAAAAAAGAAUAAAUCGUUUCUUAAUAAAAGCAGUUUGAUUGGGAGAAACCAUAUUUUGCAGCCUGUCUGCUAACCUGUUAGCCAACAAUUUAGUCACCAACUUCGCUAAACUAUGAACCAGACUGAUUGGGCGGAAAUCUCUCACACUAGUGGCUCCCUCAACCUUGGGCAGAAGUGUAAUAAAAGCUGAAUUCAGCGGACCCAAGUUUCUGAAAUUUCUAGCCAAAUGCAGUAGACUGCCGCCAUGAAAUCAGCCUUGAUCACCGACUUUUGUAAAAUCUGCCAGUGAACCCGUCAGGACUUGGGGAUUCGUCCGAAGGAAGGGACUUAAUUGUAUCCCAAACUUCCUCCUCCGAGACAGGCGCAUCAAGGGUAUCAAGGUCAUAAGAUGGCAUCCACAGAGCAUCCAGAUCAACAGUAACAUCCCUUAUUCAGUUCCAAGGAGCCCUUGAUAAAAAUCAAAGAAGGCUGCUGCCUUGCCUUCAUGGGCAGUCCAGAUUUGCCCAUCCUCUGAGUGUACCGCUGCAAUGAAAUUCUUCUUCCUGAACCUUGUUUGUGCAUGAAAAAGAGAGGUAUUGGCAUCACCUUCUUUGAUCCACCCAAUCCGCGAUUUCAGCCUUGCCAUGGUACGAGAGAGAGAGAGAGAGAGAGAGAGAGAGAGAGAGAGGACAUGGCAAGAGAGUGCUUCUUGAGCAGGUUUCGGAGCCACAGUUCACCAGGAGAUAAGGAACGAUUGUCCUGCACCACCUUCAAUUGAUGUAGGAGCUCCCUAGCCAUCUCAAGCUGCAGCUCUGUGCACUAUAUUUUGACUUGGGCCAAAGCUAAAGUACACUGAUUUGAAACGGAUGGAGAACGUGAUAGAUGUAUUGCUGUCUUUCUUUCACGAUAGAAGUUUCUGGCAUUGUGUGUGAUGGGUACAUGUAUUGAAUGCUAGAAAUAUUUAUGCUGAGGAAGGUUCAGAGGCUAUGGAUGUGGCUGCUGCCCCUGCUGUCCAGGCAUUGGCAAGAUACACACGAAGGGAGGCAACUUGCCUAUCAUUGACUGGUUAAAUUUCUGCGGCUCUUAAAGCAUUUGUCGUUUUCUUUUUGAAUAAGUUAAACUCAGUAGAUACUUCUUGCCCUGUACGUUCUAACUACACUACUACAGGCAAAGAUUCUAUGUUCUCGGGGAACUUCAAAUUCACAGCUCUGCUGCCGGCAACUCCCAGUCCCAGCCCAAAGAAGCCUGUGCGAUGAACUGCCGUGGUACGUCCACAUUUCACGCGAAGGUUUAGAAAACAGCAGGAUCGGUGGAUACCUGCUGUUCUCUCAGCAGUACAAAUAACAGGCUUCUUCCAGCAGUUGUUUACUCUGGGGUCCCCACGAUUCAAACCCUUUUGAUGGAUAUACUUCGUUCCAGAUAGGAAGUUUGUUUUGUUAAUCUCUAGUCUCGAGUAUUUGCUCUAGGAGACCACCCACCAGAACGGAGCCUUCUUGUCGCCGGACCAGGCAUCGAUUCGCACACUGUAUGAGGCGAUGCUGAAAGAAAAAAAAAAGGAAGGCAGCACCGAUGUUCGGUCAUUAAUAUGCAGUUUCUUUCGGCUGCAUGUGUCUCUUAUGUAGAGUAAAACUAAUUUAUUCUCGCAUAUAGAAUCAUACUAUACCGGACAUCAAUUGAUGAUGUGAACCGUAUGCAAGAUCAUCGCCAUCUACUGUAGUAUGUGACAGUGUAAGUUGUUUUUUUUCCUUAAAAAAUGUAGGCGGAGCAAAGUCGAAUCU